AUGAUCUUCCUCUUCUUCUUCUCUGGUCUUCAAAUAGCCUCCACUGCGAUUUAUUUGUUUUUAAAUUUUUUUAGUCUCUGACUCAUACUUCGCGAGCUUUUUUGCUGUUCUUCAAUUCUCUGCCACCUCUGUUUCACAUUUCGAACAUAGCUAAUUAUUUGGAAUGCCAUUUAGAGACAGCUCGGAAUUCGUCAUCCGGUCAACGACUGUGCAUACAAUUUGAAAGUUCUCCGGCUGAUUCUAGCAAUUGAAUAUACUUGGACGGCGACAGAAACAAAAUCGCAGCUAAAAAAUUACAUAUGUAUUUGUUUUGCUUUUUAUGUUCAGUGCAAAUUUGCACGCACCCUCUCCGACGAGCUAGCAGAGACUCACUUCCACUUUCCUAGUUCAAUUGGCAUACUUAGAAUUCUUAAAAGUUAAAAUCGCCCUCUGAAGUUGGGAUUGAAAUGGCUGA
This 454-nucleotide unclassified non-coding RNA is filed under the name Hevea brasiliensis (rubber tree). The record is from RNAcentral. Lineage: Eukaryota; Viridiplantae; Streptophyta; Magnoliopsida; Malpighiales; Euphorbiaceae.